Cygnus olor (mute swan) is the source of this 994-nucleotide long non-coding RNA. RefSeq lists it as uncharacterized. The transcript is spliced from 2 exons. NCBI's taxonomy places the organism in Eukaryota, Metazoa, Chordata, Aves, Anseriformes, Anatidae. The record is from RefSeq and is a predicted model, not a curated record.
CGGCAGGCGCAGCUCCUGCCACCUCGUGCCCAGGGAGCGAUGCAAUUUCUGUGCUCAUCAGUGCAAUGAGAGGAAACGGGGCUUGCUCAGGAACCACUGCAGCUUUGUUACCCGCUGGGGAGGGAGAAGGGAAACUUUCUAUGAUGCAAAUAGUGCCCAAAAUAACAGAGAUUAAUUUGCCCAUUCGUGCAUUGCAGGAUUUUCACGGUGAUGCUCAGAUACAGGAACGCAGCACCCACACUGGCGCAGAUUAAAGGGCUGACCAAGAUUUGAGGACUGAAGUAACAGCAGCCAGUGCCUCACAGCCCGGAGCCGUGGCACGUGAAGCGUCUCUUUAUCGGGAUGCAGGAGGCGCUUCCUCGGUCAUCUGCCAAGAGCGGAGCUGGCCACAUGUGCGGUGUUCUGCCAAGGCAAAGUGUUUUUGACUUGGUGGAGCCCCAUGACUAGGCGGAAUUUAUCAGUCCGGGCCCUUCACUGGGUGAAGAGCUGCCAAGAUCGAUGUUGUUUGUUUGUUUUGCUUGUUGUUGAUGAUGUUUUGAACUUUUGGGGAGGGGAAAAUCCCAACUGAGUCAUGCUCCCCGGGGCAGGAGCGUUGUAAGCUGGUGAGACCCAGCUCCUCUGUCAUCGCCAGGGCACUGGGGUUUGCAGAAGUGACAUUUCUUCUCCCAGUGCAAACCAGGGACAGUUUUGGCUUCUUUUACCCAGAGGAACAUCAUGCACUCCUUAAGAGCUUUAGGACGUCGACAGGAACAAACCAACUGAAAAUAAUACGACAGUCGCAGAAGCAGUCCCAUGGACUGACACUGGGGAAGCCCUACACAAACUUUCCUGCUGCAGCGUCCUGCAUCCAGACAGCAGAACACCUUCACUACUGCCAACAGAGAUCCAGUGCUGCAGAGCCCAAGGUUUUAUACACCUCUUCAUUGUCGCUUUUUUUUUUUUUUCCUAGUGAAAACCCUUGACCUGUAAAUAAAGGGCUGCUGCUUUUUCAUGA